Molecule: non-coding RNA, 22 nt
Filed under: Arabidopsis thaliana (thale cress)
Lineage: Eukaryota; Viridiplantae; Streptophyta; Magnoliopsida; Brassicales; Brassicaceae
Source: RNAcentral
UGGUGAAUUCCACAAAGCCUAG